UGUGGUGUGUGUGUUGACAUUAGUGCAGCUCAUGAUGAAGGGAUUUUCCCUUCUUUUUAAAGUUUUUGAGCACACAACACAUUACCUUCAAAGCAGACAGACAUGGACUAAAGAAGACUAAAAUAUUGAAUUCAUGAGGUCUUUCAUUCAUUAUUCAGAGAAGUAUUUGAGUAUCAAAUACCAAAUUCAGUGAUAAAUGUGCGUGUUUUCCUGUUUCUAGAAAAGGCUGGUUCAGACACAGACAGACACACAGAAGAUGAUCCAGAUCAGAAAAAACAAUCAAGAGAUCCAGUACUCAGUAGAGCUGAGACAAGAGACUCACACCUCCAUAAAUUAUUUAUUUAUUUCAUCUCAAACAUUCCUCAAACCAAACUGGAUGACUAUUGUUCUGGUGAUGUUGGUAGCAAUUAUCUUUGCCAAAGAGGCGGAGAUCACUGAGCUGAAGAGGAGAAUCACUGAGCUGGAGAGAAGAGAGCUAUACAUUCAUUCAUUGGAAAGUUUUUUCUUUUUGUUUUUUCUUUUUGUUGUUUUUGUUGUUUUUUGUUAUGCAAACAGACACUGAUACAAACAGACAAAAUUGCAAUAUUUCAGAUGAGAAAUUAAAUGCAAAAUACAAAGACCAUCAAAACAAACAUAAGUGUAAUUCGGUGUGGAAAUAUAUGAACAAAGGAGCAUGUAGGGAAGUACAAAAGACAUGAAUAAAAAAAAAAAUGAAUAAAAAAAAAAUAUAUAAAUGAAAUAAAGAAAAAGAAAAAAACUUUAAUGACAAUAAUAACGAUGAUGAUAAUAAUGCAAUAAAUUAUUCCUGCGGACUAGAGAGGAAAAUCAUUGAGCAGAAGAGUGAAAACAUUGAGCUAAACAAUCAGUUGGAGGAGGUCUGACAUUUAAAAAUAAUUGUGGAUUAUUUAAAAAAAUAUAUGUUUUCAUUCCUUACAGAAGAAAAUCCUAAAUGAUGAAACACAUGACUGCAGUGAAAACGAAUCUGUAACUGCAUGAGAGGAUAAUAUGAGAGCUGUGAGAUUCCUGCUGACAUGUUGAUGGUUUUACUUUAGUUUUAUUUUCCCUCUCUUUGACGUAUUAGAAAAGAUUUGUGAUUUUGAUUUUUCUUGUGAUUUAUAUUUUUUAUGAUAUGUGAAUAAACCUCUGAUUCUGUAUAUUAAUGAAAAAAAGU
Megalobrama amblycephala (Wuchang bream) is the source of this 1171-nucleotide long non-coding RNA. RefSeq lists it as uncharacterized. The transcript has 3 exons. NCBI's taxonomy places the organism in Eukaryota, Metazoa, Chordata, Actinopteri, Cypriniformes, Xenocyprididae. The record is from RefSeq and is a predicted model, not a curated record.